Molecule: long non-coding RNA, 1382 nt
Filed under: Nicotiana benthamiana
Lineage: Eukaryota; Viridiplantae; Streptophyta; Magnoliopsida; Solanales; Solanaceae
Description: long non-coding RNA (NBEN_LNC016796)
Source: RNAcentral
GGAUACAAAAAGCUAUCUAUGGGUUCAUGGAUAUGCCAAAGCUUCAAUGCUCAUUUGUUACCUAUAGGAGAAGGAGUAUUAGUAACAAAUAAAGCGGCUAAAAAAGGAGGUAAUUUGGGAGUUUCGGGUAAAAAGAAUCGUUGAAUUGUGAAAGUAGAUAAAUGCACAGUAGAAGAGCAUGUUUCCAAAAUCAGGUCUUCACAUGGAAAGCCAGUUGAAGCUUAAGCUCUCUAAUUUAUUAAACUCUGCUUUCAUAGAUAGGAGAAGAAGUCUUUUCCACCACAGAUCUCAAAUGCUAAGCUGAAAUCUGGAUUCUCUCCUUAGUAGUAGCUGUAGGCUAUAAUUUUGAACUGUGAAUAGUUGCAAUUAUUAAUUAAUCCUAAUAUUGAUUAGUAUAUACUUUGCCAUUUUGAAUCACGCAAAUGUUGAUUCAUCGAAUUACAUGGCUUCUUCUUCCAUACAUUUUUUUAUUUUAUAGUAGAAAUCUAACUCAAUCUCAGGUGAACCACAGAAUUUAAAAUGAUAUAUUGAUAAAAAUGAGAAUGGAGCAAAUCAAGCUUUUCAAGAAGCCAUUCAAUGAGAAUGAAUGAAAAGAAUCACAAAUUCUCCAAAGAAAGUUAUCGUUGGGGAACUCCUUCAGCUACUUACCUUCAACAACUUUUUUGGUCCGAAGCUUUCCACGUUCCACUUACUGAUAUCUCCAAUUUAGAAAAUUAAUUUUAACCCCAAAUUUCAAGCUACGAGAAAAGAAGGAAAAAAUUUCAGUCAUACCUAACAAAAGCAUACAUAUAUUUAAGAAACCAAAAUACUUUCAGUCACACACGCAAAUCGCAGUGAAAAUCGAACAUGCAAGACAAAAGAAAAAUCUUUAAGCAAAUAUAACAAUACAUGUGGAGAGAAAAUACUCUGACUAAAGCAAAUGGCAAUACAUCUGAGAAACUACACAAAACCAAAGAAUGAGUAACAAGACUUAGGAAAUUGAGGGAAACGAAAAAAUUAUAAGUUUAAAUCUGAAAAUUCCAAGCUAGAAUCCAUAUAUCCAUGGCUACUCCAUUAUUCAAAUAAGAGAAAUUACCUGAUAAAUAAAAAACAAAGCCAAUAGAACAGAUUACUUGAACAAUGGUAAAUAAUAUUAGCAGUGAUUGAAGUUCUACUGCUAAUUUUUUGAGACCUGGGAAAGGGUUGGGGAACAAUGGCUCUUUUGUUCUCCUUCAGAUUGGGGGAGUGAGAAAGAAAGAAGAGAGAAAGGGUUUGGGGGAAAAAAUGAGGGAAACAAGAAAAAUAACGUGGAAAACUUUUAGCGCUCUUUAUUUUUAUUUAGCGUAGGUCACGACCACCGUAACUAGAAGAGAAAAAGAAUAGAAAAAAGGGUUUGGGGGAAC